Molecule: ribosomal RNA, 402 nt
Filed under: uncultured bacterium
Lineage: Bacteria
Description: bacterial SSU rRNA
Rfam family: Bacterial small subunit ribosomal RNA
Source: RNAcentral
UCGGGAAUUUUGGGCAAUGGGCGAAAGCCUGACCCAGCAACGCCGCGUGAGGGAUGAAGUAUUUCGGUAUGUAAACCUCGAAAGAAUGGGAAGAAUAAAUGACGGUACCAUUUAUAAGCUCCGGCUAACUACGUGCCAGCAGCCGCGGUAAUACGAAGGAUGCAAGCGUUAUCCGGAAUUAUUGGGUUUAAAGGGUGCGUAGGCGGACUAAUAAGUCAGUGGUGAAAGCCUGCAGCUUAACUGCAGAAUUGCCAUUGAUACUGUUAGUCUUGAGUACAGUUGAGGUAGGCGGAAUGUGUCCUGUAUCGGUGAAAUGCUUAGAUAUGACACAGAACACCGAUUGCGAAGGCAGCUUGCUAAGCUGUAACUGACGCUGAGGCACGAAAGCGUGGGGAGCAAACA